This 8131-nucleotide long non-coding RNA is filed under the name Physcomitrium patens. RNAcentral's name for it is "long non-coding RNA (PPAT_LNC005857)". The record is from RNAcentral. Lineage: Eukaryota; Viridiplantae; Streptophyta; Bryopsida; Funariales; Funariaceae.
GGAGUGGGUGGAUUCGGCAAGGUGUACAAGGGUGAGACUGAUGAUGGGUCGAAAGUGGCGGUGAAGCGGGGAAACCCCAGGUCAGAGCAGGGUCUAAACGAGUUCCAAACCGAGAUAGAGCUUCUGUCGAAACUCCGACAUCGGCACCUGGUGUCACUGAUAGGGUACUGCGAGGAACACGGUGAGAUGAUUCUUGUAUAUGAUUACAUGGCCAACGGUCCGCUCAGGGGUCACCUGUAUGGAACAGACGAGGCUCCUCUGUCGUGGAAGCAGAGGCUGGAGAUUUGUAUCGGUGCAGCACGAGGAUUGCAUUACCUACACACCGGCGCGGCGCAAGGGAUCAUUCACAGGGAUGUGAAAACCACGAACAUCCUUCUGGACGAGAACUUCGUUGCCAAGGUGGCUGACUUCGGGUUGUCGAAAAUCGGGCCCGCGAAUGAAGUCACGCACGUGAGCACAGCCGUGAAGGGCAGCUUCGGGUACCUGGAUCCCGAGUAUUUCCGCAGACAGCAGCUGACGGAGAAGUCAGACGUGUACUCCUUCGGUGUCGUUCUCAUGGAGGUGCUGUGUGCACGACCGGCAAUCAAUCCGGCCCUUCCUCGAGAGGAGGUGAACUUGGCCGACUGGGCAAUCAAGUACCACAAAGCUGGCAUGCUGGAUAAGAUCGUGGAUGAGAAGCUGCGGGAUACAAUCAACCCCGACUCGUUGAAAACAUUCGGCGACACCGUCGAGAAAUGUCUGCAGGAGCGAGGUAUCGAUCGACCUUCCAUGGGUGACGUCCUGUGGAAUUUGGAGUACGCCUUGCAACUACAUGAAGCAUCUGUGAAGGGCGCCAUGUCCAGCCUUGAUCAAGGGAACUUUAGCACCGACUCUGAUAACAGCCACAUGAUCUCCGUGCCGUUGGUUGCACCCAACCUUUUCGAUGACUCGUUGACGAUGGACAUAGAACGAAGAAUGCUGGAGGAGACCGCGUCCGAGGACCAAUCGGCGAGCGCCAUAUUCUCUCAGUUGAUCAACGCUCAAGGAAGGUAAAGCACAGACGAUAGGGAGUUGAUAAACCACAAGAUGAAGGAGGCGGCGAGUAUCCAGGAAGGGAUUGUCUGACUGCUGUAGACCGAACAAAUGUAGUUGUAGUUGAUGUGGUUUUUUACAUAAAAAAAUAAUAUUUAUGUAUCGCUUCAUUUGGCUAACUUCGAGUUUGAUUGGCAUUGCGCGAGGUCAUCUGGAGUUUGGGUAGUUCUGGGUUUAUCAACAAAACUCUGUUGGCUUUGUUUGUGUUGUGGACACGUUGUAAUCCGCUUCGUUUGUAAUAUGUGUGUGAGGUGUACAUUACGAAGUUUGUCAUGAAAGUUAAGGUGGUUUCACUGAUUCGAUUCAACGUAGGCGAAGUAGUCAAGAAUCUGUUGGCACAGCAGGGUCCAAUGACUGAGCGUUGGAUGGCUAUCAAUCUCGUGCACCAUCUUGUGAAGUAAAAUGCAGGUUCGAAUAAAAGUCACUGCUGGGGUUGUUUCUGUGUUUAUGUUCCAAUGAGAUAUUAAUAUGCGAGUGCCUGUUGUGGCUCGAUCAUAAGCAUCUUUCAGCAAUGUACCUCACUCAUUGUGGUUUACAUAUUACAGAUCUUCCAACUUUUUUAUCCACAUUUUAAGCAUCUCUUUUUAACACCACCCUCCGCCAAUUUGAGCCUCACAAACUGUUUGGUGCCUAUGCAUCUCGUGUGCUGCAUGUAGGUGUGUGUGAUAUUUUCCGGUGUGCUCUGUGGCAUGGAAAUGGCUGUACUUGAGACUGUAGCAGGUUGUGUUGAUUGUUCUCUUUGGGAGCUGCCCGUCGGCCGAAGACAGAAUACGGGGCAUUUUGAUCGCUCCAAAAGGAAGCAUCGAAGGGAAGGGCAUUGCUCCAACGACGCAAGUCUCUGGAUUAUCAGAUUCCACAAACACACCUGAUGAAGUCACAGACGAGGCUGGCACUCUUGUUGGACACGGAUUUUGUGUCCUGAAACUAAAGGUAGGCAUGGCAGACUUUGAUGAACUUCGGUUGAAGUAAUGAUCUACGAACAGGAUCUGUACGAGGCAGAGUCCUGUCCACACUAUUCACAUUUGGAACAGGUAUGGGGCUCACAACCCAAUGACAUCAGCAGACCAACGGCAUGAUGUUUUGUUGAAUGUAGAUGCUCAGCCGACGCAUUUUGUCAGCUGCGGCUUUGGGUGAUUUAAUGCGUUUCUGAUAGGGUAUGGCUACUUGAAUGUCUAUCCAGAUUGGUCGGCGCGCUACUCCACAAUAGGAUGCACCAGUCACACAAUCAGUUAGAGAGGGUGUAGGAGCUGAUGGAAAGGUCUGAGCAGACGCAAUUCGGAAGGGGUCUCACUAACAGGCCACUGAGUUUGCAAAUCUUGUUAAGGAGUGCGACAUAGAAUAUUUAGAGGUACGGAAUCGAACACUUGAUCAUAAGAUGGUCGUUCACUGCAGCAGCACACAUGUUAAGAAGACUCCACCGCAAAGAAAGUACAAUUGUUGUCGGUAGUUAAUGUCAGAGUCGUUUGCAUUAACAAUUAUUUCCCGAGACUCCAGCAAACGUAUAUAAAUCUACUCUUUGACAUCCUUUAUUCGAGUUACUUCGUGCGAAUCAGCGAUGCGUAAUUUAUGUUACUAUCUCCUCUGCACAAGAGCAAUAGUUUCAUUGUUUUAUACUGGAGUGUUAGCAAUGUUCGCUUUUUAAACUUAUUGGAAAGCCUGGAAAUUUCAUGAUACUCGCAAUGUGUACGGGCAUGGAUUUCAGGUGGAUAGCACUUAUCACCAUGUGUAAUCUGAAGCAGUUAUGUCAGUUUUGAGAGAGCAUAUUCGUUUCAGAGGACUUCCUCAAAUUUUUCUCAGGGUGUGGCAUUGUGCAGGAAUAUGUUAAGAUCUCAAAAGAUAUACCGAGAUUUUGUAAGGAGAGUGGGAUACCUAUUGCUUUAGAUGAAAGCGUUGACGAGGAUACAUCGUUCUGGAGUGAAAUGCUUGAAAGAAUUGCAUCAGAGGGCGUAAUGGCUGUUGUAAUUUUUCCUGGUCGCGUGGGAUCGUUUGAACAAGCUGUGUCAUUGCGGAGUGGGCACAUAGCCGAGGCAUAGUAGCUGUUAUCAGCUCAGAUAUGAAAACAAAUAUUGGUUUAACUGCUUAUGCCCAUCUAGUUACUUCUGGUGAUGGAAGGUGUCUAUGGACGCACACAUCGAAUCAACAGAAAACCUCACGGGAUGGUGCUAUUACGCAUGGGCUGGGUACUUACAAGUGGUCUGUUGGAGACCAGUGAGAGGAAGGGGAUCGUAAAAGUUUUACACUCAUGCACAGUGGACAAUGAAGAGGGCCGCGAAUUGACCGAAGGCUGCUGGGAGUGUGUAACAACCACAACGGCGGGCACUAUUUUGAAUGAAUGGAACUCACUUGCUCCAGAUGUUCACCAGCACUGCUUCCACCACGCUGAUGAAUGGUAUUGGUGCCCUUCUCUGUGAGUAAUGUUUACUUUGGUAAUGUUAGGAUUUUGGUAUUGAAGCACUUUGUGGUCUUUCAGUGAUCUUUCAGCUCCUCCACGUCGUUAAUCCAACUCCACCAUCUUUCGGUUUUGACAGAUGUAUGCUCGCCUGGAUCUCCAGCGAUUCGAUCAAUGCGCGUGUCUGCAUAUCCGACGCCCGAGAAGUACCAUUCUGGGCACGGUAUGAUUGUUUUGGUCACAGUAGAUGCUAUUGAAAAUCCAGCCAUUUGCGAGGAUGAGAGAAAUGAACCGAACCCACCUUCAUGUAUCACCUGAGCAACAGCACUCCCAAGAUUCCCUUCACUAAUUUCUAUCGUUGAAACAGUGCCAAUACUUGCUUCCAAUAUGUAAACGAUAGAAGAAAAAAAAUCCACGUAUCUCAAUGCUGAAUAUAAGACUUCAGAACAAAAACGUGACUUUCACACAUAGGAAACUGAAUUGCAUUAUUCCCAUCGGCAAAUUUACAUUUUUCAUGGAAGAUUUUGAGAAAACUUUGAGAUAGUAGCAAAAUCUUUUUGCUCUAUAUUAUCUCCUACAUGGGUCACAAAAAAUUUGCUAAAUUCCAUGUCACAUUCAACCUGGAAGCAUUCGAAGGGAUGGGGGGGAGAUUCUGACGAAAGCAGCAGUGGCUCCGCCUACUCCGUCGACUCGGUCGCGGGAGGCGCACCCCAUGACCGCGAGCACAUGAGCCCCAUUAACUUUGCGCACAUUACGGCACGGUAACAGGAAUCCCACCUUAGAGGCAGACGCCGGUAACAGCGGUGAAGGGGGGGAGAGCGGGACUGGCGAGGAAUGGGGAUUCAUCCAGCUUCAUCGUCAUCGCCGAGCUGAAGCAACUGCACAACCAGCUGUGUUGCUGCUGUUCGAUGCUGGGCAGGACAACCACGCAGCUCACCUGCCUGCCUGUUGAUCUUUUGCUAGGCCCCUCCGAAACCCCGUCCGUCCGUAUCCCGUCAAUGGUCACUUGCACUUGUGUGAAGCCAUAGCCACUGACGCCGUCGCCGCUGCUGCUGCUGCUGCUGCUGCUGAUGGUGUGACCGAUCAAAUGGUUUCGUGACAGUGCCACAGCCCAGGUACUUCGGAUCUUUCCUUUCGACUUACAUUUGGGUUUCAAUCGGUGGAAGGACUGUAUGCGGAGAGCGCGUUUACCGUAUCGAGACUGUGGGGGGUUGUGUUUAGUAACCGGGUGGGUCUCAGAGUGAUCUAUGAGGACUGGGAUGGAGGUCGGAUAUGGCUCCGUGAGGUGAGAAUGCCGGUAUUGUAGCUUAUAUUUGUGCCUGUCAGGGUUGGAAACGAGGGUUAAGGGUUUCGUAUUUGUGUGUGUGUGUGUGUGUGUUUCGGAGAGCUGCCCGGAGGCGACGGGGUGUCGUGUUUCGCUUGAAGCCUUACAAUGUUCGCUUCAGCUCUUCGGUAGAGCAUAUGGGUCAUGAUGGAAGUGAGGAAGGGUUCCCAGAGUUCACCACGAUUGUUUCUUGACCAUAGUGAUACCCUCAAAUGCUUCGCCGCGACUGCGAGGGGCUGGUUGUGGAACAGUAGGUUAGAGAAUGUGUCUUGUAAUGCAUGCGAUAGGCCACAUUCAUUUGCCAUUCACGAUACGACAAUGGCUGGCAUCGUCUGGUGUCUCGGAGAGUGCUUUGUACUGUUCGUAAACGAUUUUGGCCCGUGCGUUAUCAUUGAAAUGCUCACUUGUACUCUGCUUUAGCGGUUCUUAUAGUCAUCUGCUCAGUGUCGUUUUCUUAAACCAGGGCAAAAAUGCCUGCAACCUAGAUGGUUGAUCCUGCGAACUUAACUAUGUCCAGCGUUGCAAGCCUCGGUUUUAUGUGUUUUGGACCAGUGUGCUUGUUCUUCCUUGUUCCGAGUCAGACAACCUUCCUAGUCGGAAUGUUAACAUUUCUAUCACACACUGAAUUCUGUGGUAGUAGCGUCCAUGCCGAAUGAAGUGGACUUGUAACAUCAGCUGAAAUAUUCGUUGUAAAAUCUGCACCCGAUUCUUCUCGGCUAUUUGGAUGAAACGAGGGUGACCUAGACUCUGAAUGUGCAGGAGUCUUGUUCAUGUGAUAACUGCAGUUUUGGGUUGUUUCUCGUGCUACAAAUGAUCUGUUACUGAAGCAAGCCAGCUGUUUCAGUUCGGAGUAAUUGGUGAUCAAGGUGAUGAGGCGGAAUUCUAACGCCUUGUAUGGCUGCAGAUCCAGGUGUAGUAACGAGUUCUGCACCGUAGAGACGGUGUGAUGUAAGCAACCAGGGGUUGGUAUUUUCCGGUCGACAGAGUUGUAAGAGGAGAAUUACAGAGAUACUCGGAUACAUUUGAGAAGCAAUCGGAGGCGUGGUUCUGACCACGCCAAAUCAGACAUUCAGAGCAGCUCUGGUGCUCCACGGAAAGGACAUAUCAGGGAAAAUGGGCUAUGACAGAUGUAUACAGAUUCUAUCGGUUCUUCUUUUGUGCGGGGCGAGUUGGGCGCAGGGUCCUGUAGCGGCGCCAGCCCCGUCUUUUACACCUGCUGAUGCAAUUCGUAUCGCGUGUGGCUCAGCCUCCGAUGUCAAAAUUGGCACACGGGUAUUUGCAGCUGACAAUGUUCCAGGAACAAUAAAAGGAAUUGCGGGAACGACUCUUCAGAAUAACGGUGCUUUGUCGGCGUACGCUCCACUUCUCACCUCUGCGAGGUUCUUCACUGCUGGAUCUAAUUACACUUUCACAGUGAGUCCAGGGAGACAUUGGGUUCGCCUGUUCUUCUAUCCAUUUGCGUUCUCAUCUUUCCAGCCAAGUAAUUCAUUCUUUGACUUGACUGCCAACGAGUUCGGUCUUCUCUCCAACUUCAGCGCAGUGACCUUCGUCACCGCAGACAGCCCUUAUUUUGUUCGAGAGUACAUCCUGAACAUUACUUCAAAGGAACUCGUUCUUACUUUCAUUCCACGGCCAAGUUCGUAUGCUUUCAUAAACGCCAUAGAGAUUGUGUCUGCGCCAGAUGGAAUGGUGCAGGAUGGCGCGACUAUACUGGGUGGAAGCUCUGUCGGUAACUUUGGCCUGAGCCGGUCGGCCCUGGAGACUAUGCACCGUAUCAAUGUUGGGGGAGUCACCGUCACACCGGAUGCUGAUUCAGCGAACAUGAGCAGGACGUGGAUUCCAGAUAGUCCGUAUUUAAUUUUUGGAGCCACAGGCAAAACCGAGUAUACCCAAACUCAAGAUAUCACGUACACCAAUGUUCCUCAGUAAGUUGCAGCUUGCCCUCGCAUGAUCAUGUUACAGGCCUUUUCAUUAUAGCUGAGUUCCCAGUAUCUUUGAUUUGUAUCAGUAUGGUGUAGAAGUUUCUAGAGUUGGAAAUAUGAGCCACUAACUCUGACGGUUGUGAUUUCUUUCUUGCCGGAUGAAGAUAUAUUGCUCCUGCUGCCGUUUAUGCGUCUGCGCUUACAUUAUCAGGCAGUGAUGUGGUGAACGUCAAUUACCAACUCAACUGGAAUUUCACAGUGGACCCCGCCUUCGCGUACUUAGUGCGUUUUCACUUAUGCGAGAUUGUGUACCAGCGGCUCAAUGAGCGUGUUUUCAAUAUUUACAUCAACAACCAGGUCGCUUUUCCAGAUCUGGAUAUAAUCGCUAAAACCACUACUCCCCUCACUCCCUUGUACAUGGACUUCAUGGUGCCCAUGUUCAAUAACUAUCCAGAAAUAAAUGUUAUGAUCGAAUCGAGCAAGACUGCUCAAAAUUACAAGAAUGCUAUAUUGAAUGGUCUGGAGAUUUUCAAGGUCAACAACUCUCGCUCCAGUCUUGCAGGCCCCAAUCGUGUUGUAGUGCCAGAUAAUUCCACUGAUGGUACACAAACUACAAAUUCAAGCUCGAGCUCCAACUUAGGUGCCAUCAUCGGUGCGUCCAUCGGGGGCGUAGCCGCUGUUCUUGUGGCGGCUGCGUUGGUCAUCUUUUGUUGCUACAAGAAGAAGACCAAGUCUGACAAGCCUGGCGCACCAAGUCAUUGGCUCCCGCUGCCUCUGCACGGCAGCAGUACUGACCACAGCAAAGUGUCGACUAGUUCGGCGAAGAGUGGGAAGAGUGGUGCAGGAAGUUAUGUUUCUUCAGUUCCAUCCAACCUGGGCAGGUACUUCAGCUUCGCGGAGCUCCAAGAAGCCACGAACAACUUCGACGAGUCUUUGGUUUUGGGAGUGGGUGGAUUCGGCAAGGUGUACAAGGGUGAGAUUGACGAUGGGUCGAAAGUGGCGGUGAAGCGGGGAAACCCCAGGUCAGAGCAGGGUCUAAACGAGUUCCAAACCGAGAUAGAGCUUCUGUCGAAACUCCGACAUCGGCACCUGGUGUCACUGAUAGGGUACUGCGAGGAACACGGUGAGAUGAUUCUUGUAUACGAUUACAUGGCCAACGGUCCGCUCAGGGGUCACCUGUACGGAACAGACGAGGCUCCUCUGUCGUGGAAGCAGAGGCUGGAGAUUUGUAUCGGUGCAGCACGAGGAUUGCAUUACCUACACACCGGCGCGGCGCAAGGGAUCAUUCACAGGGAUGUGAAAACCACGAACAUCCUUCUGGACGAGAACUUCGUUGCCAAGGUGGCUGACUUCGGGUUGUCGAAAAUCGGGCCCGCGAAUGAAGUCACGCACGUGAGCACAGCCGUGAAGGGCAGCUUCGGGUAC